RNAcentral lists this ribosomal RNA (360 nucleotides) under uncultured bacterium. Its description in RNAcentral is "partial 16S ribosomal RNA". It matches the Rfam family "Bacterial small subunit ribosomal RNA", at positions 338 to 696 of the family's 1533-position model. The record is from RNAcentral.
CCUACGGGAGGCUGCAGUGAGGAAUAUUGGUCAAUGGGAGAGAUCCUGAACCAGCCAAGCCGCGUGAGGGAAGACGGCCCUAUGGGUUGUAAACCUCUAUUUUCGGAGAACAAAACCCGGGACGUGUCCCGGACUGCGUGUAUCCGAAGAAAAAGCAUCGGCUAACUCCGUGCCAGCAGCCGCGGUAAUAGGGAGGAUGCGAGCGUUAUCCGGAUUUAUUGGGUUAAAGGGGGGCGUAGGCGGUCCGUUAAGGCAGCGGUAAAAUUGCGGGGCUAAACCCCGUUGAGCCGUUGAAACUGGGAGACUUGAGUUGGCGAGAAGUACGCGGAAUGCGCGGUGUAGCGGUGAAAUGCAUAGAUA